CUUGUUCUAAAAAAAUUAAUUACUAGCAAGUAUCUUCACCAAAAUGUCCACACAUAAUAUAAAAUAAUAAUAUACUUUAAUCACUUAUACUAAUCGGGUGACCCAUCGGGCAACCCAUGGGUAGAACAUUAUGCCCAUACCCUACCCAUGACUAAUCGGGUUACCCAUCGGGCUUACCCAUGAAUGAAUAUGGCGACCCAUACCCUGCCCAUUCGGAUCGGGUGUCCAUGGGCGCGGCCGCCCAUGGGUCGAAUUGCCGGGUUGACACAGGAGGAUUGCAUUAAACCAGAAAAAAAUCAUUCUUUGCCACGGAUACGGAGAACAAUUCUGAAGAAAUACAAAAUAAUUUUUUGAGUAAUAAUGAUGUACUCUCAUUCAACAUUCUGGUGAGCAAACUGCAAACACUUGUAUUCUGUAGCGCAUGUGGCUGCUGGCCCCGAGGCUUCAUUCACCUAACAUAGAACAACACAUCCAGUUCAAGAUUAACUAUCGAUGCAGGCCUUAAUAAACAAGAGCAACAAUACACACAUGUACUGUUUGCAUGUCUAACCACAAACCAAGACUAACAUGUAUUGUUUGCUUAGUCUGGGAUGGACUGCCAAAAUUUUACAAAGGCACUUAACUACGUUGAGUGCACACAUGAUUUUUGGGUAUUUCCUCAAGAUUGUGCACAAUAAAGCAUACAGAUUGAAAAGAACAGAAAAGUUGAACUGAAAACCAAAAUAAAUGGCCCCGGGUUCCCCAUAUAGCAACUAAAACGUCAGUACAACUACACCUUUUAUUGCUGCACUACUACUUAUACAAGGUAAAUCCAUAGUAAAAAAAUGAACUAACAUACUUGUACUUAAUAUCUUUGUGCAUGUCCAUGGCGGCAGUGCACAACGGUCGAGCAUGUAGCUCCUGUGCUGGAAGCAAUUGCCCUUAGUGGUGGCCGCUAUCGUAGUUUGCGAGUGAACUAGGAACAAAAUAAAAUAGCUACAAAAAUUGAAGAAUGAAGUACGCGGGGUCAGGUUGGACUAAAGGAGCAAAGCACUAGUGAUAAUAAUAAUAAGGCAGUCGAGCAUCUAGUUUUGGCGCACCCAAUAAUAGUUGAACUGAGAUGGUCAACUAGUUGUAGAGUUGAGAUGAUCAACAACUCUGUACUGAUCAUCAAACCGAUAUUGCAGCAGAUUGUACUGUCUCUAUGGUUCAUUAUGUAUUGUUGAGAUAAAUACACAUUGAACUUCUACACCAAAAGCAAAUUCACUAAUAAAUAACACAAUCUUUUGAGCAAUAUAACAAGUGUUGCAUGAAAUACAUCAAAUGCUGAGAGCAAUCUAACAAGUGUCACAUGGAAAUGGAAGAAAGUGCAAGAAGUACUAAAGCAAGGAAUACGUUUGAAUUAACCAGGAAGACGACAUCACACAACAAUCGUAGUAAUUGAACUGCUAGUCUUUUUGUCGAAUCAGGCACUGAAGAACUGUUGUUGGCCAUAUAGAAAAUAUACCAAAGGAGAAAUCGGACAUGUGGCGGCGCCGGUGCAGCACGGCGUCCUCGGCAGAGAAGCAGCACUCCAGCACCUCAACACGCGAACACCCGUCGGCUCCGGCGACUUUCGCCCACAGGAU
This 1607-nucleotide long non-coding RNA is filed under the name Triticum aestivum (bread wheat). Its description in RNAcentral is "long non-coding RNA (TAES_LNC002997)". Lineage: Eukaryota; Viridiplantae; Streptophyta; Magnoliopsida; Poales; Poaceae. The record is from RNAcentral.